AUGGGGGGAGCAUAUUGGCUCACGCUCCUCAAUUCUGGUCGGGUGUCGUUGGAUUGGGCGGCGAAGAUGGCGAAUUCCGGCGCCUCAGGUGCCACAGGGAUUUCUAGCGACACAUUAUACAAGGAGCUAUGGCAUGCUUGCGCUAGGCCGUUGAUUACAGUGCCUCAUCAAGGUGAAAGGAUUUACUACUUUCACAUGGUUAUAUGGAACAGGGGGGUAAUCUCCAGCCCAAGCAUGCAUGGACAAUGGCCCCAAAGAUGCUGCAAUAGAGCUCGCAACAAGGACCAAACAGCACAAUUGCAUGACAGCCACAUUGAUGAGUUGGGAAACAACAGACGCACAUGUGAUAUGGCAGCAGAGUGCAUGAACCGCUCAGGACUCAAGACUCCAUAA
This 393-nucleotide ribosomal RNA is filed under the name Triticum aestivum (bread wheat). RNAcentral describes it as "partial small subunit ribosomal RNA". Lineage: Eukaryota; Viridiplantae; Streptophyta; Magnoliopsida; Poales; Poaceae. The record is from RNAcentral.